GACGAACCGUGCGAACGUUGUUCGGAUUCACUGGGCUUAAAGGGCGCGUAGGCGGUCCACCAAGUCUGGGGUGAAAUCGUUCGGCUUAACCGGACAAGUGCCUUGGAUACUGGUGGGCUGGAGGGAGGUAGGGGCAGCUGGAACUUCUGGUGGAGCGGUGAAAUGCGUUGAUAUCAGAAGGAACGCCGGUGGCGAAAGCGAACUGCUGGACCUCUUCUGACGCUGAGGCGCGAAAGCUAGGGGAGCAAACGGG
This 253-nucleotide ribosomal RNA is filed under the name uncultured bacterium. Its description in RNAcentral is "partial 16S ribosomal RNA". It matches the Rfam family "Bacterial small subunit ribosomal RNA", at positions 524 to 776 of the family's 1533-position model. The record is from RNAcentral.